GGCUAUGCUAUGGCCAAACAGAUGCCAAUCCUGACGCCUGACACGACGGGGCGCGACCAAGGUUGCCAUCAGUGGUGAAAUUUCAGCACAUGUGGUGAAAAAUGAAAAGAUCGCAGCUGAGGUGAUGAAAUUGUGGUGAUGUGGUGAAUUUCGCUUAUAAAGUUUCGGAAAGUGGUGAAAAAAUUAAAUUUAAUUAUCAAAAAAUAAACUGUUCUAUAGCCUCUUUACAGGAUGCAAGUAAUUGUGAAGUUAAUUGCACAAGAACUUCUGCAAUAAAUUGCAAAAUAACUUAUCACAAUAAAGUGAUUACACUGUGCAAACAAUGGCAUAAACUGACAGAAAUUUCUUCGGCAGUUAACAGAGAAAAAACUCUAAAACGUCUUAUUUGAUUUAACCUGCUUUUAUUUAGAGUGGCUCCAUUUCCUUCUCAGCUGACUUUUUUUCAUAAUUACCAUAAUACUGUUAAAUUGUUACUUAAAUAAAGGUUAAAAACAUAUUCAUUUUAUACUGAUUAUUUAACAUUUUAUCAUACUUUCAUAGUUAUCUACUUAAAUAAGUCUUAGAAUAUAAAAGGUUUAAAGGUUACCUAAAGUGUUAUUAUUUGGUUAUUAUUAAAAUUAAAAUCAUAUUGGUAAAAUAAAAAUAUCAAACUUGAGAGGAUGACAAUGACAGGACAGAAUGUCGAUUGUCAAUCAAUAUGUCAAUGUCAUCAGAAGUUGACAGAUAAUUAAAAAACACAGAGUGUAGCCUUAAAAGUAAAAGUUACUAAAAAUAUAACCAAAUUGUAUGAAAAACAGCGCAAAAAAAUUUCACAAUUAAUUGCAUCCUGGCAAUUAUAAAGUUUUAGGUAAAUAAAUAUGUUUGAGGAAGUCCUUAGUAUUAAAUUGAAGUUCUUUCUUUCUUUAUUAUGUCAACAAUAUUUCAAAUUUGCCGCCAUUUUUAACUGUGGUGAAAAGUGGUGAUAUUUUGUGUAGCUAAUGUGGUGAAAUUUCCUUGACUAUCAUGGCAACACUGGGCGCGACGGAAGACGGCCAUUUUUGGUUUUUGGCAUGUUUUUGGGUAGCAGCAGCAGCAAAAGUGCAAGAAUGAUCUUAUGAAAUGAAUAGUGACUCCGGCAUUGUGUUAAGUGUAAUGAGUGUAGGUAAUGGUGAGAGAUAAUACGCUGUUUUAAAGUGCGAAUGAAUAAAUGUUAAAUCUGCAGACAUAAUAUUCGCUGUAAAAGAUGAAUCUAUAAUCAAACCAUUGAAUUUUUACUUGGCUCAAUGUAAAUGUAUGCUCCACAACUGAAAUGUUAAGAGCAGAAGCCGUGCCAUGACAGUGUCAGGAUACAUAUAAAUGGAUUUUUGGUUAGUAAGGAGUGCAGGCGUCAUGGAGAUUGGUUUUCUGCUUUUCAGAUACAAUUUUCAGUUUGGUCUUUUUUAUGGAUUCAUAGGAAUAAUAUGCUGGUGUAUCGGAUCGAUACUGAUGAAUAUACAAUAUAAAACACCAUUACAAGAUUAAAAUUAAACAGCAAAAACAGCCUCAUGUGUGUAGAAAAAAGAGACAGUGCCGAAUAAUAUUCAAAAUCUUCAUCUAAUGUAUAAAUGUACAUUUAAUUAAUGUACAGUCGGAAAAAUGAAAGAAUACCCAUGAACGAACAUAUAAAACACGCUGUAUUUUCCUGUCACCGUGUCACAAAGAAAAUUGCCCUGCGCAAGUACAUGUAAUAAUAAUUAUUACAUGUACUUGCGAUGGCCAAUUUUUUGUGUGACAUGGUGACAGGAAAAUACAGCGUGUUUUAUAUGUUCGUUCAUGGGUAUUCUUUCAUUUUUCCUACUGUAUUAAUAAUAAAUAUUGUUGUGUUGUUUUUUA
Long non-coding RNA from Diabrotica virgifera virgifera (western corn rootworm), 1851 nucleotides. RefSeq lists it as uncharacterized. The record is from RefSeq and is a predicted model, not a curated record. Lineage: Eukaryota; Metazoa; Arthropoda; Insecta; Coleoptera; Chrysomelidae. The transcript is spliced from 2 exons.